Molecule: non-coding RNA, 392 nt
Organism: Trachemys scripta elegans
Lineage: Eukaryota; Metazoa; Chordata; Testudines; Emydidae
Source: the annotation of a RefSeq genome assembly
AGUGCUACAAGAACUAGCAACUGUAACAUUUGUUGCUAGAGAUGUUGAAAAUUCUUCUCCUUCUGAUGCCUGGUGCUGGGGUUGGAGACCUCAUCUCGCAGUGGCCAACAUCAGCAAUCCAGAAACCAGGGGAGGCUGUGACUAUGAACUGUUACCAGAACGGCACAGUCCGCACAAACAUGCUCUGGUACCAGCAACCCCAGGGAGAAGGUCUGAAGUUAAUAGCCAUUACUUAUACUGGGUCACGUCCCUCUUAUGAGAAAGACUUCAAUGAGAGCAAGUUUGUGAUCAGCAGAGAACAACAGAGGCUGUCUGAUAUGACUGUGAAGAAAGUGACAGCCAGGGAUGCAGCCACCUAUUUCUGUGCUGCCAGUGAGCACACACUGCUGUGA